UUCGCCGGGGAUCGGUGGCUUGCGACGGAGCAGAUCGGCGCUUUUUCAUAGCGGUUUACGAUCGGUGCCGGAAAUCAUGCGGCGGCUAGUGAAAAUCCUCCUAGUUCCGUCCUGAGAUUGCCUAGCCACAUCGUUCGUUCGUCGCCAGGAUUUUGGUGAGUGUAUAGAUGCUGUUUCAGCCGCCAUCGAAGUCCUGGAGCAUUGACCAGCUUGGGACCUACGGACACUGAACAGAAGCGAAGGAAGAGUGCAGCCAACAGAAAAUGUACAAGGCUUGGUGAAGGUGUCCAUCCAGAUGAGGUUGUUGGUUGGCGCAGGAGCUCGAAGAUGGGCCAAAUCAAAAGAUGUUCUGUUGCCUGAAACUGUCACAGAAGCUCAAACCAUAUUCCCUUUGCUUUACCGUCAAUCAGCUGGUUGUUUUAUUCCUUGAAGAUGAUUUUUUGUGUCCUAUUGCGUAUGGGAUGGUUUACAGAGAGAGCAAACCAUAUAAACAGUGGCUGUACAGAGAGAGCAAGAAAUCAAUGAAGAGGUUCAAGAGCAAAUAGUACCCACCGAGGUGGAGGCAAAUAGUACCCACUGACAGCAGACAAACUGCUGGUGGAAUUCUAGUAGUUCAGGCGGAUGCUUCCACUGUUGUCCCUGGAGAUAGGACGGAACUAAAUGCUGCUUACUCAACAGUCGUCACAGUCGUUUUGUAUGGGAUAUUAUGGGAAGUCAAAGGUGUGGCCUUCCUCUAAGAUGCACAAAGCAAAACUUGUCAUCAUCAAUGGUGAAACUUGAAAAUAAGUUUUGAAUCAUUGGGUCUCUUGAACAGGUUUUGAUUCUUGGAAAGAAGAGAGAGAUAAACUUAUACUAUGAUGAGGUCAUUGAUUGGGCCUUACUAUGCUGGCGAAUUCAUCUAUCCUCUUCUCAAGCUAUAAAAAUAUGUACUUUCAGAUGGAAAGGAUUGAACUCUAACUCAGAAGUGGAAUUCACAGAGCAAGGCUGGAAUAGAUAUUCAGAAGCCCGGAUCAAUCUCUUCCCAACCUGUUUUUCAGUGAUGAUUACUGCUUUCUCGAAGCUAUUUUGUGGAGAAGAGUUUCAGAAUCUGUAACAUGGGACACACCAGUGGGUAACUUUUGAAUAAUGUAUAUAUAUCGUUCUGUAUCAAGUAACAAGUACAGACAUACAAUAAACGGAACCUUUUAUUAUCAACAACUUGGAUUUAACGGCGAUGUUGUUUAUUUUUCCUUCAA
Capsella rubella is the source of this 1235-nucleotide long non-coding RNA. RefSeq lists it as uncharacterized. The transcript has 5 exons. NCBI's taxonomy places the organism in Eukaryota, Viridiplantae, Streptophyta, Magnoliopsida, Brassicales, Brassicaceae. The record is from RefSeq and is a predicted model, not a curated record.